GACGAACGCUGGCGGCGUGCUUAACACAUGCAAGUCGAACGGAAAGGCCCUGCUUUUGUGGGGUGCUCGAGUGGCGAACGGGUGAGUAACACGUGAGUAACCUGCCCUUGACUUUGGGAUAACUUCAGGAAACUGGGGCUAAUACCGGAUAGGAGCUCCUGCUGCAUGGUGGGGGUUGGAAAGUUUCGGCGGUUGGGGAUGGACUCGCGGCUUAUCAGCUUGUUGGUGGGGUAGUGGCUUACCAAGGCUUUGGCGGGUAGCCGGCCUGAGAGGGUGACCGGCCAAAUGGGGACGGAGAUCCGGCCCGGACUCCUACGGGAGGCAGCAGUGGGAAAUAUUGCACAAUGGGCGGAAGCCUGAUGAAGAAACGCCGCGUGGGGUAUGACGGCCUUCGGGUUGUAACCCGCUUUCGCAUGUAACGAAGCGUGAGUGACGGUAAUGGGUGAAGAAGCACCGGCUAACUACGUG
Molecule: ribosomal RNA, 468 nt
Filed under: uncultured bacterium
Lineage: Bacteria
Description: partial 16S ribosomal RNA
Rfam family: Bacterial small subunit ribosomal RNA
Source: RNAcentral